This is a non-coding RNA of Paramuricea clavata, 289 nucleotides long. The record is from the annotation of a GenBank genome assembly. NCBI's taxonomy places the organism in Eukaryota, Metazoa, Cnidaria, Anthozoa, Malacalcyonacea, Plexauridae.
CUUGAUCAAAAAAAUGAGCAUACAAAUGCUCGCCUGCCAUACCCCUUUCACCUCUCCCAUAUCUAUUCAUGCUACUUUUGUGGUUGUUAAAACGUUUCCUAAAACUAGUAAUUGUACUCCCCACAUACUUUUUCCCACAUUUUCUACAAUAAAUCAAAUAAAUCACCCCAGCCGAAUCGCAAUCAAAGUUGUAAUUAAUGUAGUAUUUUACUUUUCCCUCGAGAAAUUCUUUCCCCUCAUCUACAUAAUUACAAAUCUGACAACGACUCUUAUUACACUUACUCAUCCC